AUCUUUACACAUGCGAUAGACCAAACAAGAUUUAUAAGCUGAGACAUUGUUCCAAGCACCUUUGUGAGAAAAGUCGUCGCAACUCGAACGAUUUAUCAAAAGCAUAAAGUGCAGAUAGCGCCAACUUUUGGUGGUACUUCACUGAAAACAGAACCAUAUAGUUUGGAAAUCAUUUAGCUACUAUCGCGGGAUUUAUUUCUUAGAACUUAAUAAUAAUUAAUGACUGUCUGAGAAUUACGGCCGGAAAAAGCAAUCAAUCUUAAAAGAGGCUCAUGAAAAUAACCAUAACUAAAAAUAUCAAUUGAUAAGAGUGUAUGAACAGCAAUAAGAAUAUAAUUAGCUAUUUCUAUUUCUCUCAGUGUUUCUGCCUGGCAGGCGCAUCUGCUCGAGUGUAACUUUUCUGGGAGAAAGAUUUACCGGGCGACAAGUGCUAAUUUGAAUGUGGGCAGCCGUUUUAUUUGUCCUGACAGUCACCAAGCCUGAUGGCUGAGCUCCCAGAUGCCACGCCCUUUGCUGGGGGAGUGACUCCUGCUCCUGGGCAUCCGUGGAGUGCUUGUUCUUCAGCUUCUGUUCAGAUCUCGAGUAGCUGUUAAGCACUUUCAUUACACGGGCCCGAAAAGAGCAAUGAUUUAUGCGAGUUAUGAGGGGAAACGGCUCGAGUGUCGCUUUAAAUACGAGCGGAAGGUCCUUUUGGCCCACUACCUCCAGCUGCGCGCAUUUGCUGUUGACUGGUGUCAUUAAAAAUGGAAUGCUGCGUACGGUGCGCGACAGAAUGGUAAGCAUGCUCGACUGGCAAAUAAAUGCGGGGUCUAGACAGUCACGCACAAUGGCAGUUUUAAUUUCAAGAGUGCAUUCGGAAAAGAACAGCAGAUGACGAUGGUGGAAGCCCGCGAAAAGGAUCUUACUUUUAUUUAUACAAUUGCAGCAGAAAUUAAAGCAUUAAACACGCAUUUACAUUCAUUAAAUUGUACACGAAAAGAUUAUGUUGGCAAAUACAGCUAAAAUUCCGUGAAAGUGUCCGUAAAUUGCCAAUAAGUGCAAACACAUUUUUAUUUUCACAUAUUUAUUUAGAAUCAAACAAACGUAAACAAAUAACUCUAUUUGAUGUUUAGAUAUUGAUACAAGGAAUUAAACAUGUAGAACGAUUUACCGAUUAGUAAAUCAAUUAUGCUUUAAUGCACAAUAUUCGUUUGGUCAAUGAUUUUGAGCAAGGAUGACAAGUAUUUCAGUUAAACCGCAGUUAUUACUUUUACCGAUGUCAAUUUUAAGCUGUCAUAUUAUUCAAAAAAUAUGGUUUAUUUAAUAUGUGUCAUUAAAACCUGUUGAGUAAGCUCGCCGCAUUAAUAAAUAUUUAGUGAAAUGAGAACUUGGCUGUAAUGCCAUGGCUA
Drosophila simulans is the source of this 1388-nucleotide long non-coding RNA. RefSeq lists it as uncharacterized. The record is from RefSeq and is a predicted model, not a curated record. The transcript has 4 exons. NCBI's taxonomy places the organism in Eukaryota, Metazoa, Arthropoda, Insecta, Diptera, Drosophilidae.